UACGUAGGGUGCAAGCAUUAAUCGGAUUUAUUGGGCGUAAAGGGCGCGUAGGCGGGAUGAUAAGUCAGAUGUGAAAGCCCGGGGCUCAACCCCGGAACAGCAUUUGAAACUGUCAUUCUAGAGGGUAGGCGGAGAAAAUGGAAUUCCACAAGUAGCGGUGAAAUGCGUAGAUAUGUGGAAGAACACCAGUGGCGAAGGCGACAUCCUGGACCGGUAUUGACGCUGAGGCGCGAAAGCCAGGGGAGCAAACGGG
RNAcentral lists this ribosomal RNA (253 nucleotides) under uncultured bacterium. RNAcentral describes it as "partial 16S ribosomal RNA". It matches the Rfam family "Bacterial small subunit ribosomal RNA", at positions 524 to 776 of the family's 1533-position model. The record is from RNAcentral.